RNAcentral lists this ribosomal RNA (496 nucleotides) under uncultured bacterium. RNAcentral describes it as "partial 16S ribosomal RNA". It matches the Rfam family "Bacterial small subunit ribosomal RNA", at positions 28 to 506 of the family's 1533-position model. The record is from RNAcentral.
GAUGAACGCUGGCGGCGUGCCUAAUACAUGCAAGUCGAGCGAACAGAUGAGGAGCUUGCUCCUCUGACGUUAGCGGCGGACGGGUGAGUAACACGUGGAUAACCUACCUAUAAGACUGGGAUAACUUCGGGAAACCGGAGCUAAUACCGGAUAAUAUAUUGAACCGCAUGGUUCAAUAGUGAAAGACGGUUUUGCUGUCACUUAUAGGUGGAUCCGCGCCGCAUUAGCUAGUUGGUAAGGUAACGGCUUACCAAGGCAACGAUGCGUAGCCGACCUGAGAGGGUGAUCGGCCACACUGGAACUGAGACACGGUCCAGACUCCUACGGGAGGCAGCAGUAGGGAAUCUUCCGCAAUGGGCGAAAGCCUGACGGAGCAACGCCGCGUGAGUGAUGAAGGUCUUCGGAUCGUAAAACUCUGUUAUUAGGGAAGAACAAAUGUGUAAGUAACUAUGCACGUCCUGACGGUACCUAAUCAGAAAGCCACGGCUAACUACGU